Molecule: long non-coding RNA, 371 nt
Organism: Pseudophryne corroboree (corroboree frog)
Lineage: Eukaryota; Metazoa; Chordata; Amphibia; Anura; Myobatrachidae
Exons: 2
Source: RefSeq, a predicted model, not a curated record
CUGGCUGGUACUUUUCCACUCUCCAAGCGAUGAUGCAUCUCGCACACUAUUCCUGGCCUUUAAAAAUAUCCUAGAAAUGCGUUUGUAUUUGUGUGGAUUAUCCGGUAGAUGGUGAAGGAUUCUGGAGCCAUUGUCUGACUGGGAGCUAUGCCGUGGUUGUGAUCCGAGACACCAGCAGGCGCCUGUCAAGAGCACUGCGCCCGAACCCGAGAGUCCCAGAAGUGCGCCCGACGGAGGGUUAAUAGAGAAAAAACAAACCAGAAGGGAAGUAUGAUGCUUUCUGUGAACCAGUGCAAGAUGUGCACUUACCUCUGGUAUGUGUAAAGAGAUAUCUUGGUCAUUUUUCUCAAAAAUUAAUUUUAAGAACUUUA